UCGAGUUAGGGUCCUCUGGGCCCGACCUCCAACCCUGUGUUUAAUUACCACGUUGCUUUGGCGGGCCCGUCUCACGACCGCCGGGGGCCUCACCCCUCUGGCCCGUGCCCGUCAAUGGCCCCUUCAAAUUCUUGACAAAAUGUGAUGUCUGAGUUAUAAAUUUAAUAGUUA
This 171-nucleotide unclassified non-coding RNA is filed under the name uncultured Chaetothyriales. RNAcentral's name for it is "sequence contains ITS1". Lineage: Eukaryota; Fungi; Ascomycota; Eurotiomycetes; Chaetothyriales. The record is from RNAcentral.